Molecule: transfer RNA, 103 nt
Filed under: Melanopsichium pennsylvanicum
Lineage: Eukaryota; Fungi; Basidiomycota; Ustilaginomycetes; Ustilaginales
Description: transfer RNA-Leu(AAG)
Rfam family: tRNA
About the family: Transfer RNA (tRNA) molecules are approximately 80 nucleotides in length.
Source: RNAcentral
GGCAAGAUGGCCGAGUGGUUAAGGCGUAGCAUUAAGGAAGGUAUCUUGUGACAACAAGAAAACCUGCUAUCUUCGGGCGUGGGUUCGAAUCCCACUCUUGUCA